RNAcentral lists this ribosomal RNA (411 nucleotides) under Bacillota bacterium. RNAcentral's name for it is "Firmicutes bacterium partial 16S ribosomal RNA". It matches the Rfam family "Bacterial small subunit ribosomal RNA", at positions 355 to 776 of the family's 1533-position model. The record is from RNAcentral. Lineage: Bacteria; Bacillati; Bacillota. RNAcentral also lists the same sequence under 2 other names.
UGGGGAAUAUUGCACAAUGGGCGCAAGCCUGAUGCAGCGACGCCGCGUGCGGGAUGACGGCCUUCGGGUUGUAAACCGCUUUUGAUCGGGAGCAAGCCUUCGGGUGAGUGUACCUUUCGAAUAAGCACCGGCUAACUACGUGCCAGCAGCCGCGGUAAUACGUAGGGUGCAAGCGUUAUCCGGAAUUAUUGGGCGUAAAGGGCUCGUAGGCGGUUCGUCGCGUCCGGUGUGAAAGUCCAUCGCUUAACGGUGGAUCUGCGCCGGGUACGGGCGGGCUGGAGUGCGGUAGGGGAGACUGGAAUUCCCGGUGUAACGGUGGAAUGUGUAGAUAUCGGGAAGAACACCAAUGGCGAAGGCAGGUCUCUGGGCCGUUACUGACGCUGAGGAGCGAAAGCGUGGGGAGCGAACAGG